UUUAAUUCUCUGUCAACUAAUCAGAACAAAUCUAGAGCUUAGCAACAACUUUAGUCAACACCCCAAACUCUCAUUCAACCAGAUAGUUAUUAACUACUCUGACUGACAAAGCACAGAGAGAGAGAGAGAGAGAGAGAGAGAGAGAUAUCAUAAUAUAUU
Molecule: long non-coding RNA, 159 nt
Organism: Octopus sinensis (East Asian common octopus)
Lineage: Eukaryota; Metazoa; Mollusca; Cephalopoda; Octopoda; Octopodidae
Exons: 3
Source: RefSeq, a predicted model, not a curated record